GAUUAACGCUAGCGGCAGGCCUAAUACAUGCAAGUUGUACGGGAUUAUUGGUAGCAAUACUGAUAUGAGAGUAGCGCACGGGUGCGUAACACGUAUGCAACCUACCUUUAACUGGGGAAUAGCUCACCGAAAGGUGAAUUAACACCGCAUAAAAUCACAGAAGGACAUCCUUUAAUGAUUAAAUCUCCGGAGGUUAAAGAUGGGCAUGCGUCCGAUUAGCUAGUUGGC
RNAcentral lists this ribosomal RNA (228 nucleotides) under uncultured bacterium. RNAcentral describes it as "partial 16S ribosomal RNA". It matches the Rfam family "Bacterial small subunit ribosomal RNA", at positions 28 to 253 of the family's 1533-position model. The record is from RNAcentral.